RNAcentral lists this long non-coding RNA (1525 nucleotides) under Macaca mulatta (Rhesus monkey). RNAcentral describes it as "lncRNA (ENSMMUG00000064534.1)". Lineage: Eukaryota; Metazoa; Chordata; Mammalia; Primates; Cercopithecidae. The record is from RNAcentral.
GGCAGGAAGAAAAUGAGCCACCAGGGGCCUCCACACUUGUCUCUCAUAAAAGGUAUAUGCUCCACAAGGGCAGGGUUGAGUCUGUCUUGUUCCCUGCUCAAUAAUUGUGUGCUAUGGAUAAAUAAAUGAAUGGAUCAAGAGAUAAGGAUGGAAUAGCAAUUUACAAACCCUAAGCAUUGUGCAAGGCAGGGCAUAAUUGGGUAGGAAUGCUUCUUCUAGAAGUUAUUCCUUAGGAAAGGCCAAACAAAAAGUCUAUUAAUAGACCCGAUUAAUAAACAUCAGCCAAGGUAAAUGUUAACAGGAAGUAUUUCUGCAAACGUUGGCAGUCUCUUAGGCUGGGCUCAGAGUAGGCUGGCGUGCUGACUGGCAUGCUGGCGAAGAAGGCUUCCUCCUUCCUGUUUGCUCAGAACAUGUUCUCAGGCCUAGGGAAGCCUCCUUCUUGAAUUCCAGAAUGAGUGCCACAGUCCCAGGCUUGCUGCAUCCUGGAAGCUCGCUCUACUUCAGUAUGCAGUGAGACCCAGGUACGCAGGGACGCAGUGUGCGGUCAGACCCAGGUGUGCAGGGACGCAGUGUGCGGUCAGACCCAGGUGUGCAGGGACGCAGUUGUGCGGUCAGACCCAGGUGUGCAGGGACGCAGUGUGCGGUCAGACCCAGAUACCCAGGGAUGCAGUGUGCGGUCAGACCCAGGUGUGCAGGGACGCAGUGUGCGGUCAGGCCCAGAUACCCAGGGAUGCAGUGUGCGGUCAGACCCAGGUGUGCAGGGAUGCAGUGUGCGGUCAGACCCAGGUGUGCAGGGAUGCAGUGUGCGGUCAGACCCAGGUGUGCAGGGAUGCAGUGUGCGGUCAGACCCAGAUACCCAGGGAUGCAGUGUGCGGUCAGACCUAGGUGUGCAGGGAUGCAGUGUGCGGUCAAAUCCAGGUAUGCAGGGAUGCGGUGUGCGGUCAGACCCAGGUGUGCAGGGAUGCAGUGUGCGGUCAGACCCAUAUACCCAGGGAUGCAGUGUGCGGUCAGACCCAGGUGUGCAGGGAUGCAGUGUGCGGUCAGACCCAGAUACCCAGGGAUGCAGUGUGUGGUCAGACCCAGGUGUGCAGGGAUGCAGUGUGUGGUCAGACCCAGGUGUGCAGGGAUGCAGUGUGUGGUCAAAUCCAUGUAUGCAGGGAUGCAGUGUGCAGUCAGACCCAGGUGUGCAGGGAUGCGUGCGGUCAGACCCAGGUGUGCAGGGAUGCAGUGUGCGGUCAGACCCAGGUGUGCAGGGAUGCAGUGUGCGGUCAGACCCAGGUAUGCAGGGAUGCAGUGUGCAGUCAGACCCAGGUGUGCCGGGGUGCAGUGUGUGGUUCGACCCAGUUAGGUGGUCCUUAAACACGCCAUGCUGGUUUGCCUCUGGGGGCUUCACCUGUGCUCUUCCAUUGUUCCUCUUUUCCUCACUUCCUUCAGGUUUCUGUACAAAUGUCACCUCCUCAGAGAAGCCUCAUCUGACCCCACUCAAAAUUAGCAGCCACAAAGAGGUAUAAUAUACUGAGAAAAA